Molecule: long non-coding RNA, 1402 nt
Organism: Etheostoma spectabile (orangethroat darter)
Lineage: Eukaryota; Metazoa; Chordata; Actinopteri; Perciformes; Percidae
Exons: 6
Source: RefSeq, a predicted model, not a curated record
GCGGACUUUUAUGUUUUAAAAAAGGAUCUUAAUCUUUAACAGAAAGGUCGACCUCCUUAGAAAUCCUUUCCAUAAUGUUGUCAGACACUUAGAAUAUUAAUCUGAGUCUGUUAGCAGCAAAACAAGCACUUUUACGAACGUAAAUACAAGCUGGACAAUUAUCCUAUUAACGUACAUUGUAGCUUGUUUCUGCUGACUGGAGCGAUCUCGUUUAAUAUCAAUGUCAAGCUGUCCUGUGAUGUGUGCCGUGCGAGCUUGGUCAGAGAUGCUGUACCAUCUUCACAAUAAAAAUAUAUCUUGUUUUAUCGUUUACUCCAUGUUAGUAAUUUAACAAAGACAAUAUACUUUAGCUGUUAGCUCAAGUUAGCAACAGCAAUUGCUAGCGCCGUUUACAUUGAGAACAAUGGGCACCUAAUGACGGACAUUAGCAUAUAAGCUAGCGGAGCAUUACAAACUCACCAGUACAAAAAGACAGCUCAAUAGCUUGAACCUGCCUUCUUCAGUCUCUCUCCAGUGUUUCUCAAUAUUUAAUUUACGUCAACAGUCACACAACUUAACAUUAGCCUUAAAAUGUAUAAGUAUCUGCUGCUACGAUGAUUCAGCUUUUCUGGAGUCACUUCCGGUCUCACUCAAUAGCGCGAACCAUAGACAUAUAAAGAGUAGACGCUGCAUUGGCAGCUCAGCGCGAGAAAUUCAACCGCCAUCUUGGACCGGUCAUACUCGUUGCUUAGCAGCAGAAGAUUCAAGAUGCCAGAGCACUGUGCAGCAUAUUCCUGUUCAAAUCGGCGGACCAUUGAAAACAGGGCUCGGGGGAUUACUUUUCACAAUUUGAAAACCUAACCGUUACAGCCCCCCACCAGUAGGGGGCCGCUGCUCUGAGCAGACCGAUUCCCCCGUUAGAAGAAGAAAAAGCGACGGGACCAGGACCACGCGGCUCAGCUCACGGAGAGAUGAAUCCGGGUGGAGACAUUUGAGGAGAAGAUGGAUUAGCUGCUCAUGCUCUAAAGGAGCUCCAUGGCACCUCCCUCUGCUCCAAAUCACAGCGUGCCAUUUGCCCAACAGCAGCUGGGACAAAUAUCCAGUUUAAAAAAUAUGGCUGUGUACAGAUUCCUACGCCAAAGCUGUGGACCGGUGUCGGCGGCUGAGGGAUACUUCCAGCAUCCAGACAGAAGAUGAAGCAAGUGUCCAAAAAAGGCAGCGCCGACGCCCAAGGAGGUUCAUGACAGAUUCUUCAAGCGAUGAUGAAUCUGUUGCACGACCAGAUAAACUGUCCAGGAUGGAGCGUGCGUCUGGAAGCCCUGUCUCUCAGCAGAUAAUACUUCCUCCACCACCUGCAUUUAAGUUUUUUAAUAUAUAUUUUGUCUAAUAUAAAAGAAUAGGUUCAUAGAUUCAUGUGCAGGCA